Molecule: ribosomal RNA, 246 nt
Filed under: uncultured bacterium
Lineage: Bacteria
Description: partial 16S ribosomal RNA
Rfam family: Bacterial small subunit ribosomal RNA
Source: RNAcentral
GGAGCGAUCCGGAGCAAAUCCCAGAAAGACCGUCCCAGUUCGGAUUGAAGCUGAAAUUCGACUUCAUGAAGCUGGAAUUGCUAGUAAUGGCAGGUCAGCAUACUGCCGUGAAUACGUUCCCGGGCCUUGUACACACCGCCCGUCACACCAUGAGAGUUGGGAAUACCCGAAGCCUGUGAGCUAACUGUAAAGAGGCAGCAGUCGAAGGUAGAAUCAAUGAUUGGGGUGAAGUCGUAACAAGGUAGC